Cyprinus carpio (common carp) is the source of this 834-nucleotide long non-coding RNA. RefSeq lists it as uncharacterized. The record is from RefSeq and is a predicted model, not a curated record. Lineage: Eukaryota; Metazoa; Chordata; Actinopteri; Cypriniformes; Cyprinidae.
AAUCUAAAACAACUAAAAUAAAAAUGAAAACAAGAAAACUAAUACAAAAUAUUAAAUAAAAAAAAAUAUAAUAGUGAAUAACAAUUAUAAUGCUGAAAUAUCACUGGUUUUCUGAUGUGGCUGAUACAUAUACAUAAAUAAUUCCACUUAAUUACAGCUAAUGGGAUUUCACAGCAAAGGCUUUUCAGAAAUUUAAUGAAUGCUUAUUUUGCAUGCUGAUUACUCAAUUUUUAAAAAGACAAAUAAAUAUGAUAAAUGGUCAAGUGCAGCCUGGCAGAUAUAUCUGUUCAUCACUAAUAAAGCACUAAAUUGUGAUUAUGAUAGACAUCUCUCUCCAGAGGCGGCAGUCCAUGUGUCUAGUAUGCUCUCCAAAGGCAAGUUUGAUGAAUUGAGAAGUGUGAUGUCGAAAGAGGUUAGCUGAUUACAGUAAAUUACUGGUUUGGCAAACAUUUUAAGUCAUAUAAGACCUAUAAAACAUUUAUUUAUUUUUUUCCUGACAGUGUCAGAAAGCAGUGUAAAACUCUGUCAGAGGCCCAACAAAGACAUCUUGCGAUUUCCCUCGAUAACAUUAUAUUUCUGCUGCCCGAGGAUGUGUCUGUAUUCUUUGAUCACAACAAUCCUGAUGGACCCGAGGACCCACAUCUUCAAGAUGGACAUAACUGAAGAUGGUCCUCAAAAGAAGAUCAUCACAGCUGUGUACCAGUACUCGCCAGGUGGAGUUUGAUGCAGCAGGUCACCUACACCUGAGGAGAAACAAGAAAAACUACAAAUGGAUGAAUUUCUCGAAACCAGUCAAGAACACACCCCAAAAAAUAUGCUUAACUGUAAUUAAAA